Long non-coding RNA from Xenia sp. Carnegie-2017, 785 nucleotides. RefSeq lists it as uncharacterized. The transcript is spliced from 3 exons. Lineage: Eukaryota; Metazoa; Cnidaria; Anthozoa; Malacalcyonacea; Xeniidae. The record is from RefSeq and is a predicted model, not a curated record.
CCUCCGUGAGAAGCUUCGUUAAGUCAUUUUGGUUUUCCUCCUCAAUUUCACCUUCAGAAUUCAUUUUUGAUCAACUGCUCAAUGUUAAAUUCAAAAUUGAAAAUAUUUUAGAUGCGCAGGACUUAGCGAAGUACAUAACUUUUUGUAGAUUGUCAUAAAUUGUUAUCGUCUUACCAUUUGACAAUAAACAAAACUUCACGGCAAUAAACAAAACUUCACGGCAAUAAACAAAACUACACGGCAAUAAACAAAACUACACGGCAAUAAACAAAACUCCACGGCAAUAAACAAAAUUCCACGGGUCACGGCGGAAGUGCUAUCUCGGUGGAAGUACAAGAUCAAAUACCAAAUCAUCGCCAUAUUGCCAUCGCGUAGCCGUGAUCGUUUUUUAUCUUUGCUUUGUAAGAAAGUUUUGCUCAAACUGUGGACAAGAGGUCGCAAGCACUUGGAAUUUGUUCGAAGUGUGGUUUCUGUGCGCCAUCGACCUCUUCCGCUUCGACGUCCAGUAACCAGAAUAACACUUGAAAGUAAUAAUGAUUCAGAUUUGCAAUCUGAAAACAGUGAGUAGUUUACUGAAGAGCUUAGAGAAGAAUUCAAUGAGAAAGCGACGGAAGGAAGCAUUGGCAUUGUAUAGGACUCUUACUUAUGUUGCUACUUGUGACGCAUAAUUGUAAAUAACCAUUUUUUUGAACUAGCUCAAAUCAUUUCAACCAUCUCAGUACCAAUGUUAAUUGUAAAUAGAUGGAUUUAAAAACAUCAAAAACGUUUUUUAAAUUUUUUCAUGU